RNAcentral lists this ribosomal RNA (238 nucleotides) under uncultured bacterium. RNAcentral's name for it is "partial 16S ribosomal RNA". It matches the Rfam family "Bacterial small subunit ribosomal RNA", at positions 15 to 236 of the family's 1533-position model. The record is from RNAcentral.
GAUCAUAGCUCAGGACGAACGCUGGCGGCGUGCCUAACACAUGCAAGUCGAACGGAGAAUUUUAUUUCGGUAGAAUUCUUAGUGGCGAACGGGUGAGUAACGCGUAGGCAACCUACCCUUUAGACGGGGACAACAUUCCGAAAGGAGUGCUAAUACCGGAUGUGAUCAUCUUGCCGCAUGGCAGGAUGAAGAAAGAUGGCCUCUACAAGUAAGCUAUCGCUAAAGGAUGGGCCUGCGU